Long non-coding RNA from Portunus trituberculatus (swimming crab), 631 nucleotides. RefSeq lists it as uncharacterized. The record is from RefSeq and is a predicted model, not a curated record. The transcript is spliced from 2 exons. NCBI's taxonomy places the organism in Eukaryota, Metazoa, Arthropoda, Malacostraca, Decapoda, Portunidae.
GGGGGGGUGGGAGACGAGAACGAAGCUCAGAAUGGCAGUGAGAGCAGUAGUACUUCAGACACCACGACCGCUACAUCUUUCUAGUCUCCACGACCUCUCGAGUCUACGCAGCCCAGUGGCCGUGUGUGUCUUGGCGUUGGGCGUGACGUGCAGCAACGGUGGAGUUGACGAUCCAAAGGCCUGACUCCACAGCGGUAAUGAGCCUUGUGUACCUUGCACUGUCUUCACUGACAACGCCCACUACUAACCCCUCUGCCUCCGCCACCGUUUCAAGAUCAGGGAAGGACUCUGCCUUGCAUCGCGCACUGUGAUGGUCGCCGCCCCCGCCCCCGCCCCCGCCGCCGCCGCUGCUGCUGCUGCUGCUGCUGCUGCUAAGGGAGAAUAGUUUGUUGAGUGGAUGACGGCGUGUUCACUGACCCUCUCCCAUCACCCUACCAACUCCGGCCACCCACCCCCCUGCCACCAGACACCUGCUACACCACCACUACCGCCGGCUCCGUCCAGUGAAAGAUUCAUCGCAGACCUGCCAUUCAACGCCUGCCGCCGCCGCCACCACCACCACCACCUCCUUAUGGUGGUGUCACUGUACCUGGAGCUGUUGUCAUGAUUGAAUAAUAAAUUGUGAAGAAAU